UGAGCUGGCGGUCUCUGUCAAUUUGUACUCUCCUUUCGCUUUUUACUAAAGGAGACCAGGCUUAGGUCGCAUAGUACAGCUCUUUAACCUAAUUUUUGUCGUCUCCCAAAGAGACGU
RNAcentral lists this small nuclear RNA (117 nucleotides) under Galdieria sulphuraria. RNAcentral's name for it is "U5 spliceosomal RNA". It matches the Rfam family "U5 spliceosomal RNA". Rfam says of the family: U5 RNA is a component of both types of known spliceosome. The precise function of this molecule is unknown, though it is known that the 5' loop is required for splice site selection and p220 binding, and that both the 3' stem-loop and the Sm site are important for Sm protein binding and cap methylation. Lineage: Eukaryota; Rhodophyta; Bangiophyceae; Galdieriales; Galdieriaceae. The record is from Rfam by way of RNAcentral.